This 483-nucleotide ribosomal RNA is filed under the name uncultured bacterium. RNAcentral's name for it is "partial 16S ribosomal RNA". It matches the Rfam family "Bacterial small subunit ribosomal RNA", at positions 28 to 523 of the family's 1533-position model. The record is from RNAcentral.
GACGAACGCUGGCGGCGUGCUUAACACAUGCAAGUCGAACGAUGAUGCCCAGCUUGCUGGGUGGAUUAGUGGCGAACGGGUGAGUAACACGUGAGUAACCUGCCCCUGACUCUGGGAUAAGCGCUGGAAACGACGUCUAAUACUGGAUAUGACUGCCGGCCGCAUGGCCUGGUGGUGGAUAGAUUUUUUGGUUGGGGAUGGACUCGCGGCCUCUCAGCUUGUUGGUGAGGUAAUGGCUCACCAAGGCGACGACGGGUAGCCGGCCUGAGAGGGUGACCGGCCACACUGGGACGGAGACACGGCCCAGACUCCUACGGGAGGCAGCAGUGGGGAAUAUUGCACAAUGGGCGAAAGCCUGAUGCAGCAACGCCGCGUGAGGGAUGACGGCCUUCGGGUUGUAAACCUCUUUCAGUAGGGAAGAAGCGAAAGUGACGGUACCUGCAGAAAAAGCACCGGCUAACUACGUGCCAGCCGCCGCGGUAA